Molecule: ribosomal RNA, 253 nt
Filed under: uncultured bacterium
Lineage: Bacteria
Description: partial 16S ribosomal RNA
Rfam family: Bacterial small subunit ribosomal RNA
Source: RNAcentral
UACGAAGGGGGCUAGCGUUGUUCGGAAUUACUGGGCGUAAAGCGCACGUAGGCGGAUUUGUAAGUCAGGGGUGAAAUCCCGGGGCUCAACCCCGGAACUGCCUUUGAUACUGCGAAUCUCGAGUCCGGAAGAGGUGAGUGGAAUUCCUAGUGUAGAGGUGAAAUGCGUAGAUAUCGGGAGGAACACCUGAGGCGAAGGCGGGCUACUGGGCCGAUACUGACGCUGAGGCGCGAAAGCCAGGGGAGCAAACGGG